Molecule: unclassified non-coding RNA, 496 nt
Filed under: Homarus americanus (American lobster)
Lineage: Eukaryota; Metazoa; Arthropoda; Malacostraca; Decapoda; Nephropidae
Description: uncharacterized LOC121865881, transcript variant X2
Source: RNAcentral
GAUAUAAAAGAGAGAGCCGGCUAACACCUAACCAUAGUCUGGUGGCGCCCAGUCCUACACACACACACACCAGGUUGCUCACUUCAUCCUACUGUUGUCGUCUCUCAACCGUGAGGAUAAUGGCUGGAUACCUGACCUGGCUGACUUGGGUGUUGCUGCUGGCUCUCUGCUACACGCCUACACCUGCUCACUCUGGGAGCUUCGGGUCAGCAGGUAUUGGUGGUGGUGGUGGUAAUGAGUUCACCCUGGACGGUAUUCAUGACGGCCCGUGGAUUGGCGAUGACGGAUACAUAGGAGGAAGUGACGCCGACUCAACAGGACCGGGUGUGAUACUAAGGACUCCGAUUCAACUAUUUAACUCUACAGGUACCAGGCUGAUACCAGUGAUAACAGGUCCUCCACUCAACUCAAGACCCCAAAAGUAAUAGACAUGACCAACAGUCCUGUAAUAAAAUAAUAAAUGUAAUAAAAUAAUGUAAUAAAAAAUUUCAAUAUA